This 66-nucleotide transfer RNA is filed under the name Marmota monax (woodchuck). RNAcentral's name for it is "tRNA.Ala". Lineage: Eukaryota; Metazoa; Chordata; Mammalia; Rodentia; Sciuridae. The record is from RNAcentral.
GAUGUAACUCAGUGGUACAGUGCUUGCCUAGCAUGCACACGGCCCUGGGUUCAAUCCCCAGCGCCA